Molecule: long non-coding RNA, 862 nt
Organism: Lolium perenne
Lineage: Eukaryota; Viridiplantae; Streptophyta; Magnoliopsida; Poales; Poaceae
Source: RefSeq, a predicted model, not a curated record
AACGAGACCCAUGUGGCCGGUCUUCACUCUCGCUUCGGCUUCGUCCAGGAGAAACCCCAAACCGUAUCUUCCCCUCUCCCCAUCUCCACCGCCGCCUCCAUCGAUCCCCAACACCACCACCUCCACCGCCCAUGCCUCACAUGUGUGAGACCGGCUCCGCCCCGCCUGAAAGGCAGAGGGAGCAGCGUCUCUUCCUCUGGCAGCUGCCGACAUGGGCGCGUCGCGCGCACACGAGGAGAUUUGCCCAGCAGCCCGAGCUGCGGCCGAGAGCGAGGCAUGGGCGGAGGACCUUGCUGCGGCCGGGGCACGGGAAAUCAAGCAACUACCGGAGACCGCCGGCAAUGGCUCCGGGGCAGAGGAGGCGGCAGAGGAAUCAUAGAGGCGCUCUGGAGAGAAACCCACUGCGUACAAUUUUUUCUUUAUUUUGUGUCAACAAGUGCAAAAAAUGAAGAGGGAGGCUGGAAGGGGAAUGGGGCAGCGAAGAGGAUAGAUAAUUUACUUUUCUAAAAUUUUGCAAUUAUGUCAGUCAGCGAGACAGUGACUAGCGACGGUGGUGGAGGAAAGCCUGUUGAUCACGCCACUGAACCAGGAUAAGGAUGGGGGCAGUGGGCUGGUAAGGAGAAGUGGUGCACAUGGUGGCCGAGGGGAGGAAGAAAAAUUAAUAAAUUCAAGUUCAUAGAUAUGUGGUGAAACUAAGAAUAUAUUGUGCUCGAUGCAUUUGACAACUAAGUAGUUGAUGCACACAUACACUUACUAUUGUUCGGUGGCAAUGCAUUAUGGUUUGAGUAAGUCUAAAUGUAUGCUCUUUCCCUCAACUUGGUGGUAUCCUUGUUGAAAUAUAAAAAUUUCUGCGUGUGUUACA